GGCCUGAAACCGGGACCCCGUAAGAGGCCCAUAAAGCACAAGACGGCGGAGAUGAUUGGGAGCCACGGGAGGCGACUGGGAGCCACGGGAGGCGACUGGGAGCCACGGGAGGCGACUGAGAGCCACGGGAGGCGACUGGGACCCAUGGGAGGUGACUGGGAGCCACAGGAGGCGACUGGGAGGCGACUGGGAGCCACGGGAGGUGACUGGGAGGCGACUGGGAGCCACGGGAGGUGACUGGGAGCCACGGGAGGUGAUUGGGAGCCACGGGAGGCGACUGGGAGCCAUGGGAGGCGAUUGGGAGGCGACUGGGAGCCACGGGAGGCGAUUGGGAGGCGACUGGGAGCCACGGGAGGUGACUGGGAGCCACGGGAGGUGAUUGGGACCCACGGGAGGUGACUGGGAGCCACGGGAGGUGAUUGGGAGCCAUGGGAGAUGACUGAGAGCCACGGGAGGCGACUGGGACCCAUGGGAGGUGACUGGGAGCCACAGGAGGCGACUGGGAGGCGACUGGGAGCCACGGGAGGUGACUGGGAGGCGACUGGGAGCCACGGGAGGUGACUGGGAGCCACGGGAGGUGAUUGGGAGCCACGGGAGGCGACUGGGAGCCAUGGGAGGCGAUUGGGAGGCGACUGGGAGCCACGGGAGGCGAUUGGGAGGCGACUGGGAGCCACGGGAGGUGACUGGGAGCCACGGGAGGUGAUUGGGACCCACGGGAGGUGACUGGGAGCCACGGGAGGUGAUUGGGAGCCAUGGGAGAUGACUGGGAGCCACGGGCUGGAAGGCUUCACAUGCCCGAGGAUUCCGAUUCUGUUGGGUCCAGAGAGAAGCCAUAGAAAUGUUGUCCGUGGGCACGUGAUCACAGCUGAAUGAUAGAACUUCUAUGGCAGCCACGGAGGAGUGCAAAGGGCAGAUCCUGGAGAUCACAGAGAGAAUCAGGUGAUAAAGGAGGUCAGAGGUCGCAUAGAUGGAGGGAAAGGACGGGAGCCACUGAAUGUGGGGAGGAGGCCCCAGGGGCCCAGCAGGGCAGGGCGCCCCCACCAGCCCAAGGGAUGCCAUCG
RNAcentral lists this long non-coding RNA (1061 nucleotides) under Sarcophilus harrisii (Tasmanian devil). RNAcentral describes it as "lncRNA (ENSSHAG00000026559.1)". The record is from RNAcentral. Lineage: Eukaryota; Metazoa; Chordata; Mammalia; Dasyuromorphia; Dasyuridae.